UUUUGCAGUUGCAACCAUGUUUUCUGUGUAUUCUCUGUAGCUAGCGUGAUAUACGUAUGCUUCUUUCUCCUUCAUCAUCCCUGGAGGGCCCUAUCUUGGUGCUUUUGAAGUAGUGAUUUUUGGUUGAAGUAGAUCGUUUCUCUGAAGUGUUGUAGCAGUUACUUUCAGGUUUCAAGGCUUUCCUGUGUGUAAAUCAUUCUUCCUUGGCUGAUGGUAGCAAGUAACAUCUGGAGUUCAUUAUCCAUUGGAAUCUUGUACAGAUUAGGCUGUGGGCUCUUUGCCACUGGAGACAUAAGAAUAAUAAAGCUGAGAUCGCUAUUCCUAAUUAAUGGGUAACAAAAUGAAGCAGAUACUGAUAAUGUGUACUCUUUUAAAGUCAUUCCUAACCAGAGCAGUUUGCAUUAUAGCAACCCACUCUGCAAAAACCGAUAUGUGCAUGAAGCAAAAAUUUCGCACUGCACACUUAUAGUUUAUUUGAUGGCCAGCACGACUUUUUUAUUGAUUUGAAAAGGAACAUUACAAUGGCUCCUUUUUUUCUCUUCUGAUUACCCAGCGAAAGAACCGGUACUAACAGCGUAGCCACGGGGUCGCAAGGAGACAAAUUGUAGGCAUACAUUUCGGAUAAUUCUAUUUGCAAGUGCCUGUGCUCCUUAUUUUCAGGUCAGUUUACUGUUUUCUAGAAUCUAUACUGCUUCUUGGCUACUUUUCUUUGUUCCCUGCAGGGAAUCAAGCAGUUCUUCGGCGGGGUAAGAGCCUCACAAUGCAAGGCAAACCAUUGUUUUAUGUGGCCAUGUUUUUUCUUAAUUUCUGGAGAUUGUUGGGCAAUUCUGAUAAGUUAAGAAACAGAACUGAAGUGUGAUAGUUGAAGAAAUAAGCUCAGAUAUACUCUCUUCUUUUUUCGGAUGCUGCAUAGUGUCACGACUGGCUACUUGAGAGUCCAUUGCCACGGAUGGUUCUGGAGCCAACAAUUCCAGUGACCCGCCGGAUAUCAGAAGCUCACUGUCUGGCAUCUCAAUGCUCUCAAGCCGCGAAGGCAUGCGGCAUGCGGCCAUUUUCAGGAAAAGGAGUUUCAGGGGGCAUCAGAUUAUAUAAACAGAAAGGAUGGUAGAGGAACACGAACUGGUGAUGGCUGGGCCUCUGAAGCAAAGGGCCGGGCAAGCUUCAUCUGUUUUUAUGUCGUGUAGAAAAAUCCCGGCCCUUUUCUUUGACAAGGCAGAAGAAUGAUUGUGCAGCGGUGCAUAACAGAAACACUCAAUAGCACAAGCUGACCAGACCUUCACAAGAACCUACCGAAUUAGGGUUUUCAAGGCGGUGGCGUGUCUGGCUAAUGUACCAUUGGGCAAUGGCAUAUUAUAGUGGCAAUUACGGGAUAUGAUCGUAUCGUUCCAGGUUA
Long non-coding RNA from Triticum aestivum (bread wheat), 1393 nucleotides. RefSeq lists it as uncharacterized. The transcript has 2 exons. The record is from RefSeq and is a predicted model, not a curated record. Lineage: Eukaryota; Viridiplantae; Streptophyta; Magnoliopsida; Poales; Poaceae.